Molecule: long non-coding RNA, 2674 nt
Filed under: Apis florea (little honeybee)
Lineage: Eukaryota; Metazoa; Arthropoda; Insecta; Hymenoptera; Apidae
Description: uncharacterized LOC116415226
Source: RNAcentral
GUAACGUUUAUUUCGCGAUAAUGCUUUCUUCUUUCAUUCUAUUGGCAGUCUGUCAAUUCGUUGCAUCACCGUAAAGAAAUAAAUGAAUUUUAUGCCAUUUAUUUUCAUUCAUUUCACUUAUUAGAGAUACGAGAUAUCGAGAAAUAAUUAUUAUAAAUCAUUUUAUUCGAUUUAUUAAGUUUUAAAACUGAUUCCCUCCUUUUCUAAAUUCGAUAUUUGUUCUAACUUUCAUUCGAAUCUCUUUUCGAUAAAAAGAGACGAUAGUUUCGAGAUAUAACGUGUCAUCGAUGAUGCUUUUUUCCGAUAUAAUAUGAUCCUAGACACUGAAUUAGUUUUAGAAAAUCUUACGUGUCUUCUUCGAACUCUUUUCUCGUAACAACUUCCAAGAACGGAUAAAACAAAUUCCACUUCUAAAAUACCGGCGUUACUUACUCUACACGACUAGAAUAUACAAUCCGCUAACGGUAUUCUGGCGGUCAUCGUUCCCUGAAGAUGGAUCUACGUUCUAAAACUGAAAAUGGUAUCCUACUUAGAAUUCGUAGAAUUGUCAAGUGUACACUAUGUAUACUUAUAUAUAAAAUUUAAUCGAUGCUGCAUAAAUCUAAAAUUAAAAACACGAUCGCUUCAAAUUUUGUACAUUAUCAAAAAAUUUUUAUUAACCUGAAUUUCGUUCAAAAUUUCAUUCACCUUCUAAAUUGUCGAUAUUUUCGAAAUUCAAAAGAAUAACACGAUUUUCUAUUGCUUAGGAAACCGAAAUAAAAAUCCUUGUAAUAAAUCCUUGUAAUAAUAAAUUUUUCACUUCGUGUCUACAAGUAUCAAAGUAACAAAGAGUAACAAUCUUUUAAUUGACAUUUUUAUCGACAAACAAUUAAGAUCCUAAUGCAUGCAAUUUACAAACUAUUUAUCGAUCUUCACGACUGUUCGAAAUCAAAUAAUCAAAUCUUCGAGAUUUUCGUGUUACGUACUUAAGCUUACCUCGAGUCGAGUUGGCGAAUUAAUAAUAGAUUGAUCGGAAACGGAGGAAAAUAUUACUUUCACGAACCGAGUUAAAACCGGAGUAAUUAAAGCGGCUUGUGUCAUUGUUUUGAUUAGAAACGUUCGUGCAUAUUAAUAUUUAGCGACGUGCCGGUUAUAAAUUCAACGCCCAAUCGAUAAAGUAAUUCCGGCUGCGAUUCAAUCGCAACUUUAAUUGAAAUCAGAUCGUCGUAAUUGGAUAAAUUAAACGUUGAUUAAUGCGUGUAUCGUGACUAACGAUCGCGAUUUGUGAAAUUUGCGUUACUUAAUAUCGGUAUAUAUAUUAUAACAGACUGUUCCAGACGAAAAUUGAUGAACUUUGAACCCGUGCUCGAAAUAUCUCAACAAAAAAAUAUUAUAUAUAUAUAUAUAUAUUAUUUCUUGAUACACGAAUUGAUUACCCCAAAAAAUCUCAAGAGAAAAAUCUAUUGAAAGGAUCAUGCAUAGAUUCAUCUCUUUUUAUCCAUCGAUCAUGAAGAGUCUUAUUAUUAACAAUUUGUUGAAUAAUAUAAUCUUCCUCAAGUUAUAUAACAUAGUAAAAGUAAUAACGUUUGCAACACUACUUUUCUUUAUUCUCGCGCGUGCAUAAAUUUCGCUGUAAUUGCGUAAAAACUUCGUACGAAUCCGUUUGUUUAUUCGAAAGGGGGUUGUUCAACGAGGCCAGCAUCGUUAUCCCAUAAUCGUUAUUUCUUAGGAAGGUGGAAAGAGAUCCAGAAAUAAAGAGUAAACGGUCCAUUAACGCGUGAGUAACAACAUUUCCCGUUCAUCGGAUUUUCACCUCUCCGCGAGCAGAUUGCGGCGGAAACGAGUGGCCGAGGCUUAAGGCUAUGGGCGCUUCUGUUUUCCAUCUGCCAGCUCUCCUUAAUCGCAGCCAGCCAUAACAGUAUCGUAAAUGGUGGAUACGUGUAGACGAAGGCUCGAUUUUGCCGCGAUCGGGAUUUUCGCCGAUCCCCUAAUUCCUCGUUCGAUUACACAGUCUGCGGCGUGUUAGCUUCGAAAGACAUCGAAUCGAGAUUAAAAACGGGUAGCAUGAAGGGUUAACGCUCGGCUCGAUUCGUGGAAAAACGCCGGACCAAGAUCUCAAUGUUAUAAUUUAAAUGAAUAUUGUAUAUGCUAUUGUAUAUUCGCGCAGUGGAAAACGAUCGAAGAAGUAUAAAUCGUAUAAUAUGUGCGCGAUAUUAAAUACGAAUAUUAUAACUAUAUAAUAUACACUUUUGAUUCUUACUUAUAUACUGGAUCGAGACCGAUAAAUUUUCCUACUUUUAUUAGCCGAUAAUAUCAACGAUUCUUCCCUUUCUUUUAAACACGCGCGAUUUCAUCCGCAAUAAUUUCAAUAGAUCCUACGAAUACCUAAAGAUGAAAAGAUUACCUAACCUCUUUCCUCUGACGAAAAAAAUCGACCAAUUGUCGCGAAGAUACCGAAAAAAAAAAAAAAAGAAAAGAAGAAAAGCCGGCAAACAGACGCGUCAGCGUGGCAGGCAUAAGCCGACACUUUAUUACAUUAAUUCAAUUUAAACUUCCGGAAAGUGCGUAGACAGAGCGUUGCAGGAACUUUAUACUACCCCGUCGUAUAAAGUUCUGGGGAAGCUUUUAUCGCGGAAAGGGAUUCCGAGAAGGAGAGGGAGGAAUGUGCUUCUUCUCACGUUUAUAUAUAUAUAUA